Molecule: long non-coding RNA, 755 nt
Organism: Ornithorhynchus anatinus (platypus)
Lineage: Eukaryota; Metazoa; Chordata; Mammalia; Monotremata; Ornithorhynchidae
Exons: 4
Source: RefSeq, a predicted model, not a curated record
ACUAUGACACAGCUGAGUGGAACACAUGAAGAGAAUGAACGACAGCUGAAUGGAGAACUGAACUUGGAAAGCUGAAAGCAAGAAGAGCAGAGGAAAUGUUUUAGGGACCUGGAAAAACAGAGCCUCAGAUAAUGCUGCAUCCCAGCUGAAAACUGGGAGUCCACUGGGAGGCUGGCAUACUGUUAUCAGAAAGAGAAUGGAUCUCUUCAAGCAAAAGCUUCAUGAGGACCAAGAGACAGAGACAAAAGAGAAAACAGUGCCACUAUUGCUGGAAACCUUAAGCAUGACAACAAGGGACAAGCUUUUUGUGUGCCCAAUGGAACUGAGACUGCAGGUCUCUUGUUGGCCUUUUUGCUCAUACAUGCACUCAUAAGUGAACGUUAUCAUCAGAUGUGUCUUAUUUGACUAUUUAGGAUAAGUACAUGUGGCCCGGCUCCACACGGUUUCUUUCCUGUUCCAAGGAGAAGAAAGGAGAAGACAAGCUUAACAUGAUAAACUCAUCCGGAUGUAUCAGAAUAUAGUCACCCCGACUCUUCAGAGGAUCUUGUGAAAACCCUGUUUUUCUAGUCAUUAUCAGAUGUUCAACUCAAACAUGACAGCAGUCAUUCAGUUUCAGACCAGAUAGCAGCAGAUAAGGCUUUGCCAGUUCCUGAUACUCAGGCCUAACCCCAGGACUUUGCAUUCCCAAGAGAACUGGGGGUACAGUGGUGCAGUGGGAAGAGCCAUGCAGUGAGAUUCAAAGAUCUGGGUCCUGG